This 253-nucleotide ribosomal RNA is filed under the name uncultured bacterium. RNAcentral describes it as "partial 16S ribosomal RNA". It matches the Rfam family "Bacterial small subunit ribosomal RNA", at positions 524 to 776 of the family's 1533-position model. The record is from RNAcentral.
UACAGAGGGUGCAAGCGUUGCUCGGAAUUACUGGGCGUAAAGGGCGUGUAGGCGGUUUUGUAUGUCUGGCGUGAAAGCCCCGGGCUCACCUCGGGAAGUGCGUUGGAAACUGCAAGACUAGAGUCCCGGAGAGGAAGGUGGAAUUCCAGGUGUAGCGGUGAAAUGCGUAGAUAUCGGGAAGAACACCGGUGGCGAAGGCGGGUCUCUGGGCAUUUCCUGACGCUGAGGCGCGAAAGCGUGGGGAGCAAACGGG